Molecule: ribosomal RNA, 259 nt
Filed under: uncultured bacterium
Lineage: Bacteria
Description: partial 16S ribosomal RNA
Rfam family: Bacterial small subunit ribosomal RNA
Source: RNAcentral
UGGCGGACGGGUGAGUAACGGCGUGGGUAACCUGCCUUACACAGGGGGAUAACACCUGGAAACAGGUGCUAAUACCGCAUAAGCGCACAGGGCCGCAUGGCCCGGUGUGAAAAACUCCGGUGGUGUAAGAUGGACCCGCGUCUGAUUAGCUUGUUGGCGGGGUAGAGGCCCACCAAGGCGACGAUCAGUAGCCGGCCUGAGAGGGUGGACGGCCACAUUGGGACUGAGACACGGCCCAAACUCCUACGGAAGGCAGCAG